This 446-nucleotide ribosomal RNA is filed under the name Armigeres subalbatus. RNAcentral's name for it is "eukaryotic LSU rRNA". The stretch from base 2 to 125 matches the Rfam family "5.8S ribosomal RNA", at positions 29 to 154 of the family's 154-position model. Lineage: Eukaryota; Metazoa; Arthropoda; Insecta; Diptera; Culicidae. The record is from RNAcentral.
GUGGAUCGAUGAAGACCGCAGCUAAAUGCGCGUCAGAAUGUGAACUGCAGGACACAUGAACACCGACACGUUGAACGCAUAUUGCACACCGUACUACAGUACGAUGUACACAUUUUUGAGUGCCUAUAUUUAUCCAUUCAACUGUGCACGCCCCGCGUGUACGCGUAGUGACGUUUUCCUAACCGCCACCACCACCCCCGGUUUGGUAGUAAAACAGUAAAACGUUCAAGAUAGUCAGACGCGGCGCCCAGUGUUCGCCGGGCCGCCGCGGUUGAUGAAUACAUCCCAUAUCAUACGACCACAUCACCACCAUCAUCAUGGCCCUGUGUGUGUGUGUGUGUGUGUGUGUGUCGUUGUUGUUGUAUUCCAUCAUCCCAGAUGUAGGAUCCUCCUAUGUAGGCCUCAAAUAAUGUGUGACUACCCCCUAAAUUUAAGCAUAUUAAUAA